Molecule: non-coding RNA, 25 nt
Filed under: Mus musculus (house mouse)
Lineage: Eukaryota; Metazoa; Chordata; Mammalia; Rodentia; Muridae
Also listed under: 1 other name
Source: RNAcentral
UGAGCCAAAAUAAAUCUUUGCUCCU